RNAcentral lists this ribosomal RNA (481 nucleotides) under uncultured bacterium. Its description in RNAcentral is "bacterial SSU rRNA". It matches the Rfam family "Bacterial small subunit ribosomal RNA", at positions 29 to 507 of the family's 1533-position model. The record is from RNAcentral.
AUGAACGCUGGCGGCGUGCCUAACACAUGCAAGUCGAACGGAGUUGUCACCAUGAAGUUUUCGGAUGGAAUGGAGGCAACUUAGUGGCGGACGGGUGAGUAACGCGUGGGUAACCUGCCUCAUACUGGGGGAUAACAGCUGGAAACGGCUGCUAAAACCGCAUAAGAUCGCAUCACCGCAUGGUGAGGCGGUUAAAUAUCGAAAGAUAGGUAUGAGAUGGGCCCGCGUCUGAUUAGCUAGUUGGUGAGAUAAGAGCCCACCAAGGCGACGAUCAGUAGCCGGCUUGAGAGAGUGACCGGCCACAUUGGGACUGAGACACGGCCCAAACUCCUACGGGAGGCAGCAGUGGGGAAUAUUGCACAAUGGGGGAAACCCUGAUGCAGCGACGCCGCGUGAGUGAAGAAGUGCUUCGGCAUGUAAAGCUCUAUCAGCAGGGAAGAAGAUGACGGUACCUGACUAAGAAGCCCCGGCUAACUACGUG